RNAcentral lists this ribosomal RNA (571 nucleotides) under uncultured bacterium. Its description in RNAcentral is "partial 16S ribosomal RNA". It matches the Rfam family "Bacterial small subunit ribosomal RNA", at positions 355 to 918 of the family's 1533-position model. The record is from RNAcentral.
UGGGGAAUUUUGGACAAUGGGCGCAAGCCUGAUCCAGCCAUGCCGCGUGCGGGAAGAAGGCCUUCGGGUUGUAAACCGCUUUUGUCAGGGAAGAAAUCUUCUGAGUUAAUACCUCGGGAGGAUGACGGUACCUGAAGAAUAAGCACCGGCUAACUACGUGCCAGCAGCCGCGGUAAUACGUAGGGUGCAAGCGUUAAUCGGAAUUACUGGGCGUAAAGCGUGCGCAGGCGGUUUUGUAAGACAGAGGUGAAAUCCCCGGGCUCAACCUGGGAACUGCCUUUGUGACUGCAAGGCUUGAGUGCGGCAGAGGGGGGAUGGAAUUCCGCGUGUAGCAGUGAAAUGCGUAGAUAUGCGGAGGAACACCGAUGGCGAAGGCAAUCCCCUGGGCCUGCACUGACGCUCAUGCACGAAAGCGUGGGGAGCAAACAGGAUUAGAUACCCUGGUAGUCCACGCCCUAAACGAUGUCAACUGGUUGUUGGGAAGGUUCCUUCUCAGUAACGUAGCUAACGCGUGAAGUUGACCGCCUGGGGAGUACGGCCGCAAGGUUGAAACUUAAAUGAAUUGACGGGG